Molecule: microRNA precursor, 64 nt
Filed under: Oreochromis niloticus (Nile tilapia)
Lineage: Eukaryota; Metazoa; Chordata; Actinopteri; Cichliformes; Cichlidae
Description: microRNA oni-mir-10878 precursor
Source: miRBase by way of RNAcentral
ACAGAUCUCUUUGAUUGUUGCUGCUCCCAUUCGGAGAGCAGCCACGGGGGGGAUCUGCAUGUGC